This 952-nucleotide long non-coding RNA is filed under the name Callithrix jacchus (white-tufted-ear marmoset). Its description in RNAcentral is "lncRNA (ENSCJAG00000079643.1)". The record is from RNAcentral. Lineage: Eukaryota; Metazoa; Chordata; Mammalia; Primates; Cebidae.
GCCACUCAAGAAUCCUCAUUAUUUUAGAAAUAUUCAGUAUAUCAAAAACUUAAUAUAGCCUGGGAAACAUAGCAAAAUCCCAUUUCCACACACACAAUUUUUUUUAUUAGCCAUGCAUCAUGGUGGACAGAUGGACAUGGUCACAUCACUGCACUUCAGCCUGGGUGACAGAGCGAGAUCCUGCCUCAAAACAAACAAACAAACAACCCCCCCCAAAAAAACAAACAAAAAAAUUUGAAUAAAAAUUAUUAUUAUUAUUAUUUUUUUUUUUUUGAAACGGAGUUUCGCUCUUGUUACCCAGGCUGGAGUGCAAUGGCGCAAUCUCGGCUCACCACAACCUCCGCCUCCUGGGUUCAGGCAAUUCUCCUGCCUCAGCCUCCCGAGUAGCUGGGAUUACAGGACUACCACAACUGGAUGAUAAGGAAGGAAGAAACACAGUUCACAGACGAAUGAGAUCAAUAGGUUGGCAUGAGUGGAAAAUGGGUUACUUCUGCAAAAAGGCCCAGCACGUAAGUAUCUCUAGAAGAAAGAAGUAAAGGGAAAAUUCUAUAGAGGGCAGAGAUUGGAAAUCAACACACUGUAAUCUACUUGGUGUAGAAGGGGAAAUGGCUUGCAGCAAACAUAUGCACAGCUUUGGUCAGUGGUAAAUUGCUCUGCCUGGUGGAAUCAGAUAUAAGAAAGCAAGGUUGGAAAAGUAGAGACAAAGAAGAUAGGGCAAGAGGCAUACGACUGGACCCAUGGGAGUUGACACUGAUGUGUGGAUAUUUGGUUUUCCCAUUUGUUCCACCCUAGUGGAGCAACAUCCACCCCGGUGGAGCAACUGAACAACCACACGGCUAGAAUGACUUGGGUUGGGUGUGUCAUCCAGCCUCUGUCUUUAGCCAGCUCUGUGCUUGGGUCUUGUACACAUGAAUGGAGUAACCCUGGGAAGGAUAGGAAGCUAUGGAUUGUA